Molecule: transfer-messenger RNA, 363 nt
Filed under: Succinivibrionaceae
Lineage: Bacteria; Pseudomonadati; Pseudomonadota; Gammaproteobacteria; Aeromonadales
Also listed under: 1 other name
Description: Anaerobiospirillum sp944392765 Standard tmRNA
Rfam family: transfer-messenger RNA
About the family: Bacterial tmRNA, also known as 10Sa RNA or SsrA, is named for its dual tRNA and mRNA-like properties.
Source: RNAcentral
GGGGGUGAUUCUGGAUUCGACCGGGAGUUACCGAGCCUAAGGUGCAUGUCGAGGGCGGAUUGCCUCGUUAAAAGUCCAUUAAAAUAGUCGCAAACGACGAAAACUACGCUUUAGCAGCUUAAUAACCUGCGUAAAGCCAUCGGUGUUAGGCCCUGCUAGUGUCGUCUAGCAAAUCCGGUGUCAGUUUCUCACUAGCUCGUGUGGAAGCCCCGCUUGAGGUGGAAGCAUUAAAGAAUUUUUCAAGCUGGAUACUCAGUGGCGUGACUCUCCGCAGCUGGUAUUAAGAUUAAAGAGAUGUCUAAGCAUGUAGUACUGAGGGUAGAGUCUCUUGGGACGUGGGUUCAAAUCCCACCACCUCCACCA